Molecule: ribosomal RNA, 468 nt
Filed under: uncultured bacterium
Lineage: Bacteria
Description: partial 16S ribosomal RNA
Rfam family: Bacterial small subunit ribosomal RNA
Source: RNAcentral
GACGAACGCUGGCGGCGUGCUUAACACAUGCAAGUCGAACGGAAAGGCCCUGCUUUUGUGGGGUGCUAGAGUGGCGAACGGGUGAGUAACACGUGAGUAACCUGCCCUUGACUUUGGGAUAACUUCAGGAAACUGGGGCAAAUACCGGAUAGGAGCUCCUGCUGCAUGGUGGGGGUUGGAAAGUUUCGGCGGUUGGGGAUGGACUCGCGGCUUAUCAGCUUGUUGGUGGGGUAGUGGCUUACCAAGGCUUUGACGGGUAGCCGGCCUGAGAGGGUGACCGGCCACAUUGGGACUGAGAUACGGCCCAGACUCCUACGGGAGGCAGCAGUGGGGAAUAUUGCACAAUGGGCGGAAGCCUGAUGCAGCAACGCCGCGUGCGGGAUGACGGCCUUCGGGUUGUAAACCGCUUUCGCCUGUGACGAAGCGUGAGUGACGGUAAUGGGUAAAGAAGCACCGGCUAACUACGUG